UUUGCGCGGUUGCAAUCGUAAGUGCGCAUGCGCCAGCUGGCAUGAGAAACAAGAUCAAGAUGGCGGUCAUUAAUCGCACGGACAAUAUUGGCAGUUUUAUUGGAAGGGAAAGCAUCUUCAACUAUAACGAAGCUUCUUAAAGCAUUAAAGAUGUGACACCCUUAAUGGAAUGUUUCAAUUAUUACAGUCUUCGAAGAACAAGAGGAGCUAUUAAAGAAAUGAACUGCUUAUGGAAAAGUUGGAACAGAGAAUACAUAUAAAAAAGACAGGCCAGGAAUCGGACUGGGUGACCCCAGCUGUUUAUGACGCAUUUGAAGCAUAUUGAACCACUAAUACACUACAUGGUCAUUACAAAGUGAAAAUGCUGUUUUGUGACAAACUAAACACACACAACUGAAAAAUGUUGUUUAUGAUAAAUUUGAUCCCCUCCAUUGAUCCCCAACAUUGUGCAUACAAAGACACAAAUUCAAAAUCAAAUAGAGAAGGCUAAUUGAGCAAGCAGUAUCUGAUGAUGUUGCCCAGCAUUGCAUAGAAAAAGCCACAAAUACCACAUGGAUAGCUAACAGUAGCAGAACUGUAGAAGCACUGUUUUAUUUUGAUGCUGCCAGACUUUGAAAAAGAACCUUUCUUCCAAUACAGUUAAUACUUCUGUUUCAAGUUAGAUUAUAUCAACUGCCUAUAUUGAACACAAGUAAAAAAUUGAAGAAGAGCAAAGCCCUUCCUCAAAAUCUUAAAUAAGGAGUAAUUAAAUAGUGAAAAGAUAAAAUAAAAAAUAUUGCUGUGAUAAAA
Molecule: long non-coding RNA, 789 nt
Organism: Nematostella vectensis (starlet sea anemone)
Lineage: Eukaryota; Metazoa; Cnidaria; Anthozoa; Actiniaria; Edwardsiidae
Exons: 2
Source: RefSeq, a predicted model, not a curated record